UCCCGUGUGGCUCAGUUGGUAGAGCAUGGUGUUUGCAAUGCCAGGGUUGUGGGUUUGAUUCCCAUGGGGGGGG
Molecule: transfer RNA, 73 nt
Filed under: Salmo salar (Atlantic salmon)
Lineage: Eukaryota; Metazoa; Chordata; Actinopteri; Salmoniformes; Salmonidae
Rfam family: tRNA
About the family: Transfer RNA (tRNA) molecules are approximately 80 nucleotides in length. Their secondary structure includes four short double-helical elements and three loops (D, anti-codon, and T loops).
Source: Rfam by way of RNAcentral